CCUACGGGGUGCAGCAGUGGGGAAUCUUGCGCAAUGGGCGAAAGCCUGACGCAGCGACGCCGCGUGGGGGAAGAAGGCCUUAGGGUUGUAAACCUCUUUCAGUAGGGACGAAGCCACUCGGGUUAAUAGCCCAGAGGGUGACGGUACCUACAGAAGAAGCCCCGGCUAACUACGUGCCAGCAGCCGCGGUAGUACGUAGGGGGCAAGCGUUGUCCGGAUUUAUUGGGCGUAAAGAGCGUGUAGGCGGCCAGAUAGGUCCGUUGUGAAAACUGGAGGCUUAACCUUCAGACGUCGAUGGAAACCAUCUGGCUAGAGUCCGGAAGAGGAGAAUGGAAUUCCUGGUGUAGCGGUGAAAUGCGCAGAUAUCAGGAAGAACACCCGUGGCGAAGGCGGUUCUCUGGGACGGUACUGACGCUGAGACGCGAAAGCGUGGGGAGCGAACAGGAUUAGAUACCCUAGUAGUC
Molecule: ribosomal RNA, 464 nt
Filed under: uncultured bacterium
Lineage: Bacteria
Description: bacterial SSU rRNA
Rfam family: Bacterial small subunit ribosomal RNA
Source: RNAcentral